UACGGAGGGUGCAAGCGUUAUCCGGGUUCACUGGGUUUAAAGGGUGCGUAGGUGGGUUGGUAAGUCAGUGGUGAAAUCUCCGGGCUUAACCUGGAAACUGCCAUUGAUACUAUCAAUCUUGAAUACCUUGGAGGUGAGCGGAAUAUGUCAUGUAGCGGUGAAAUGCUUAGAUAUGACAUAGAACACCAAUUGCGAAGGCAGCUCACUACACGGUCAUUGACACUGAGGCACGAAAGCGUGGGGAUCAAACAGG
RNAcentral lists this ribosomal RNA (253 nucleotides) under uncultured bacterium. RNAcentral describes it as "partial 16S ribosomal RNA". It matches the Rfam family "Bacterial small subunit ribosomal RNA", at positions 524 to 776 of the family's 1533-position model. The record is from RNAcentral.